GAGAGAGAGGUCCUCCAUUCAUCAUUGAUCCACUGCAGGACUGUGUUUCAUGGGGGUGUGAAUUAUGGGCCCCUGUUGUCACUGUGCCUGCUCUGCGUUGGACGUUUCACCUCGCCACUGUAAAUUUAAAAAGGGGAUUAGAUUUUGCUGACAACUGAUUUCAAAGCCGCAGCUCGACCAAGUGCAGAAAACUGCACGGUACCUCUUGAAAGAAGACUUCAUACUGCCCCGCAAUUGCAGGAUUUGGGGAAUUUGCAAGGAUCGGAACAAACCUAACGGGACGCAAAACGCAUUCGAGAUCACAGAAACCUCAGUAGAUUUUACGCAAUUACACUACGGACUCUUUUCCUUCAGGGAGGAGAAAAAACCCCAAACGUUUAGUUGACUGGGCGUUUUGGACGCGCAGUGAUGCUACGGCGACGCACAACAGAGGGAAGGGACAGGUGAGGUGCGGCUGAGGAGCGCAAUUUUAGAGAGGUUUUGAAUACCCCCGAGCUGUGCUACUCAACCCCGGUUUCAUCAUAGAAAAGAAGAAGAUCGACCGGCGAGGGCGAGUUGGCGAUUGGCACCUGCCUCACCCUCCAAUACCUGGCCAUCUGGCGCGUGCAUCUGUGUUGCUGCCAUGGCAACUGUGGCUCCACCCCUCGCAUUUCUUCUCCUGCUGCUUCAACUGGCUGAUGGCUCAUUCCCAGAGGAACCCAGUCCACUCAGCUACGUCCCUGUGGAGGUGGUGAGGAGGUAUCCAGUGUUCCUGGGCCGAGCUCAUCGUUCAGCACAAAGACAGGAGCUGCACAUCCAGACGGUCCUCCAAGUCAACCGCACGCUGUACAUAGG
Long non-coding RNA from Pundamilia nyererei, 834 nucleotides. RefSeq lists it as uncharacterized. The record is from RefSeq and is a predicted model, not a curated record. NCBI's taxonomy places the organism in Eukaryota, Metazoa, Chordata, Actinopteri, Cichliformes, Cichlidae. The transcript has 3 exons.